RNAcentral lists this ribosomal RNA (1464 nucleotides) under uncultured bacterium. Its description in RNAcentral is "bacterial SSU rRNA". It matches the Rfam family "Bacterial small subunit ribosomal RNA". The record is from RNAcentral.
AGAGUUUGAUCAUGGCUCAGGAUAAACGCUGGCGGCGUGCCUAACACAUGCAAGUCGCACGUCCUCGCUUUUCGGAGUGAGGGAGUGGCGGACGGGUGAGGAACACAUGGGUGACCUGCCUUCCAGUGAGGAAUACCGGCGAGAAAUCGCCGACAAUACCGCAUGGGCUCGCGGGGUCGCACCCACGAGCAAAGCUCCGCAAGGGGCGCUGGAAGAGGGGCCCGUGGCCGAUUAGCUGGUUGGUGGGGUAAAAGCCUACCAAGGCGACGAUCGGUAGCUGGUCUGAGAGGACGAUCAGCCACACUGGGAUUGAGAACGGCCCAGACUCCUACGGGGGGCAGCAGUGAGGAAUUUUCCGCAAUGGACGCAAGUCUGGCGGAGCAACGCCGCGUGCAGGAGGAAGGUCUUCGGAUCGUAAACUGCUUUUCCCAGGGACGAGCACGGACGGUACCUGGGGAACAAGCCCCGGCUAACUACGUGCCAGCAGCCGCGGUAAUACGUAGGGGGCAAGCGUUGUCCGGAUUUAUUGGGCGUAAAGCGCCCGCAGGCGGUCGCGUCAGUUUGGGGUGACAGCUCCUGGCUUAACCGGGAGAGGACCUCGAAGACGGCGUGACUUGAGGGCCAGAGAGGGACAUGGAACUCCGGGUGGAGUGGUGAAAUGCGUAGAGAUCCGGAAGAACACCAAAGGCGAAGGCAGCGUCCUGGCUGGCCCCUGACGCUGAGGGGCGAAAGCGAGGGGAGCGAACGGGAUUAGAUACCCCGGUAGUCCUCGCCGUAAACGAUGACCACCAGGUGUGGGAGGGAUCGACCCCUUCCGUGCCGGCGUUAACGCACUAAGUGGUCCGCCUGGGGAGUACGGUCGCAAGAUUAAAACUCAAAGGAAUUGACGGGGACCCGCACAAGCAGCGGAGCGUGUGGUUUAAUUCGAAGCAACGCGAAGAACCUUACCAGGGCUUGACAUGCAUUUACACCGUCCAGAGAUGGACGUGCCCGCAAGGGACGGAUGCACAGGUGCUGCAUGGCUGUCGUCAGCUCGUGCCGUGAGGUGUUGGGUUAAGUCCCGCAACGAGCGCAACCCCUGUCGUUGGUUAGGAUGUCCAAGGAGACUGCCACGAGUAACGUGGAGGAAGGUGGGGAUGACGUCAAGUCAGCACGGCCCUGACGUCCUGGGCGACACACACGCUACAAUGGCCGCCACAAUGGGUUGCCAACCCGCGAGGGGGAGCCAAUCCCAACAAAGGCGGUCUCAGUUCAGAUUGCAGGCUGCAACUCGCCUGCAUGAAGGCGGAGUUGCUAGUAACCGUGGGUCAGCACACCACGGUGAAUACGUUCCCGGGUCUUGUACACACCGCCCGUCACACCACGAAAGUCGGCUACACCUGAAGCCGCUGGGCUAACUGGGCAACCAGAGGCAAGCGUCGAGGGUGGGGUCGGUGAUUGGGGUGAAGUCGUAACAAGGUAACC